UAUGGGAGGUCUACCUGCCCAGUGACACUAAGUUAAACGGCCGCGGUAUCCUGACCGUGCUAAGGUAGCGCAAUCACUUGUCUUUUAAAUGAGGACCUGUAUGAAUGGUGGAACGAGGGCUUAACUGUCUCCCCCCCCCAGCCAGUGAAAUUGAUCUACCCGUGCAGAAGCGGGUAUAAAUAUACAAGACGAGAAGACCCUUUGGAGCUUAAGACAUAAAGUCAACUAAGUCAAGACACUUGAAAAAAGAAAAAAACAAAAUUAGUUUAUCUGACCGCUGUCUUCGGUUGGGGCGACCUCGGGGAAAAAAAUAACCCCCGUGAAGAAUGGGACUAUCCUAAAACUAAGAGAGACAUCUCUAAGCCACAGAACAUCUGACCAAAAGAUCCGGGAAAUUUACCGAUCAACGAACCAAGUUACCCAAGGGAUAACAGCGCAAUCCUCUUCAAGAGUCCAUAUCGACAAGAGGGUUUACGACCUCGAUGUUGGAUCGGGACAUCCUAAUGGUGCAACCGCUAUUAAGGGUUCGUUUCUUCUACGA
Molecule: ribosomal RNA, 541 nt
Filed under: Gasteropelecus sternicla (river hatchetfish)
Lineage: Eukaryota; Metazoa; Chordata; Actinopteri; Characiformes; Gasteropelecidae
Description: partial 16S ribosomal RNA
Rfam family: Bacterial large subunit ribosomal RNA
Source: RNAcentral